This is a small nucleolar RNA of Grammomys surdaster, 141 nucleotides long. RefSeq annotates it as small nucleolar RNA SNORA48. Lineage: Eukaryota; Metazoa; Chordata; Mammalia; Rodentia; Muridae. The record is from RefSeq and is a predicted model, not a curated record. The transcript has a single exon.
ACCCUCUGACAUUAGACAAAGAGACACCUUGUUGGUGUUUUUCUUAUAUUGAUCAGAGACAAAGCAGAUGACAGUCCUUUGCUCAUCCUAGCUUCAUGCAUGGCUUGGUGGCCAAAGCUGUCUUAUGCCUAGGACUGAUAA